This 2500-nucleotide long non-coding RNA is filed under the name Mus musculus (house mouse). RNAcentral describes it as "RIKEN cDNA 4732496C06 gene". Lineage: Eukaryota; Metazoa; Chordata; Mammalia; Rodentia; Muridae. The record is from RNAcentral.
CCAACUCUUUUUUUUUUUUUUUUUUUUUUUUUUUACUAUUUCUUAGGACUGUAAAACUUUAUUUAUGAGUAUCUUCAUGACCAAUUAAAAAUCUUGAGAAGUCCUUGAUCUUUAGGAUUCACACUUUGAUCCCAAAGCAUCCAUAAGUAUAGACAGCGCAACGAGCUUUUCUUUUAAAAAGAUCUCAUUGAAAUGGUAAAGGCUGAUGGCCACAGACAUUGGUCCCCUCCUCAGAGGCAGUGACACCCUCCUGCAUCCCAGGGUCAGUCAGGGCUGUGAGGUUACCCCAUCAUCCAGAAUUUGUAGCUUAAUUCCUACCCUGACCGGGAACAGCUGUAGUAAACUAUCCCCAGGUCACACUUAGGUAUUCAAGUUCAGGCGCCAGUGAACGCUUCUGUCCCGCCCAUACAGUGUCAACUGUUCUCCUCUCUCCUUUUCAUCACAAAGUCAAUGGAAAAGCUUCUUUGAAUGUAACAUGGUACUGAGAUGCAGCCAGUGAAAUCUAACUGCAGGGGAUCGUACGUGGUUGAAUCUUUAGUGAGAAUAGCUAGCGUGUAUAUUCACAAAUCUUGAUGCUACAUUGAGUCUGAAUACAAAGGAACUCUAAAUUGUAUUGUUCAAUGAAGGAGAUGGGACAUGAGUAUCCCACAUAGGGGAUGAACAUCCUAGAAAGGGGCUUUCCAACUUUCCUAAUGGUCCCCACAGGUCCCCAUUUUUAUUUUUAAAAGUCAGAUGACUAAUUUGUAUCUGAGUGUCUAAGAGAAUCUGAUAUUCCUUAAACUCACAAAUGUCCUAAUAUUGUCGAAAGCAUCACCAACACGAAUAACAUGUAGGCGAUUUAACAUUAUGUGUACAUUACACAGUAAUCUGAGUGUAAGACGGAAUGAAUGUUGAAGGAUGUUAAAGGGCUAACCCUUGCAGCUUGUGUAAUGUAUCGUCAGCCAGCUCCCAAGGGGAAUUGAAUGUGAGACAAACAUGAGCCCGGCCAGUAACUAAUUGUCUGAAGGUUACUAAAUUUAAACUAACAUUCUCACAAUGUCAUAUUCCUUGCAAGUGAUUUUGGAUUUUAUCCCACUUUUUAUUCGGAUUCAUUAUACCUUAAAGGAGUAACGCAAACAUACCAAAGCCAGCUGGACACUGUAAUGUCUUUAACUGAAGUUGUAUUGUUUGAACUGUAUCUCCUAAGUGUUACUACUACAGCCUCUAAUGCAUUUAAUUUAGCUUCUAGGGUUGUAUUUAUAUGUAACAUCUUGUGUUGCCAAAGCUAUAGAGGUAUCGCAAGCAAGCUGAUUGCAAAAUAGGUAGUUUGCAUUUGGAAGCAAGGGCCACAGUGGAAGGAGCUGCAGAUGCUAUAGCAGUGACUACUGUAAAACUGGUGGCUAAAACGAAGACUAUACCCAAUUAGAGGGGGAACAAUUGGUACAAGUAACAUUGAAACAUCUCCACAUUUUAAAAUAUAAGGUCUCCGGUUCGGUGACAUAUAUGAAGGGUUUAAUAGGCAGUGAGUCUAAACAUGAAAGAAUGUUCAUGCUAGAGUUAUCUUUUCCAGAAGUCUCACAGAUGGUCAUAGUGUCCAGGGCUGUGGCUAACAGCCAAAGGUCUGGCUGAACGUUUCCUCUGGAGACAUUAUAGCAGGGCAUGGCUAAUGAGGAGAACCUAGGAGGUUACCUUCAUCCAGACUGGGUGGGUGCCUCCAAGGCAAGUCAACCAGCAAUUCAGGUCAUCUACCCAGAGACACAAAGUUCUUUAGAAGUGUGCAUCAUUCCACCCAAGAGGGAAUUCUAAAGCCAGGCACCAGAUUCUCACUGCACAGAGGGAAAUGUCUAUCUAACAAGGUAACCUGUGAGUGAUCAGAAACCAGAAAACUCAAGUGAGAAUGAGUUGAUGAUAUUGAAAACCUGCACAUCAAAUCCUUGCCAGACCCCAAAGCCAAAGUCCUGUGGGUCACUCAGAUGAGAGGGAUAUAUAUGUACUGACUCACUAACGACAAACCAGUUGGAAUACUGGAUGUCAAAGAGAGGGUGAGAAACCUUCAGAUCAAUUACCCCAGUCUGAGGAUUUAUAACUAUUAUAUAAUAUUUUAAUAGCGAGUUAUUUUAAAGUAAAAUUUGAUUUGACAUACAUUAUAGCCAGCUGUCCAUAAUUGUUAAUCAUACACUUUAUAAAGUUAAAUAUCUUAUGUAUAAGUGUUAUCCUCUUUCUAUAUUAUACCUUCUGCUAUUCUUUAACUUAUUUGGACGUUUAUAAUUUAUAAAAGUCUUUUAGUUAUUCAUUUUGUAAGCAUAUAUCAUCUCGAUCCUUAUAUAUAAAUUCUUACUUAUUAAAAUAAUUUUAAUCAUUAUGUAUUUUUAUUAAGAUAAUUUUUAUUUCUAUCCUUAUAACAUUUUUAUUUUUAAUGUCAUAUCUUUUUAUCCUUAAAACAUUAAAAAAUAUUUUAAACCAUAUCUUUUUAUAAUUGUAUAGUUAUAUCUCCCCUUUAUUAAAACAAAAUUGGUUGGGA